RNAcentral lists this ribosomal RNA (303 nucleotides) under uncultured bacterium. RNAcentral describes it as "partial 16S ribosomal RNA". It matches the Rfam family "Bacterial small subunit ribosomal RNA", at positions 507 to 809 of the family's 1533-position model. The record is from RNAcentral.
AGCAGUCGCCGCGGGAAUACGUAGGGUGCAAGCGUUAAUCGGAAUUACUGGGCGUAAAGCGUGCGCAGGCGGUUAUAUAAGACAGAUGUGAAAUCCCCGGGCUCAACCUGGGAACUGCAUUUGUGACUGUAUAGCUAGAGUACGGCAGAGGGGGAUGGAAUUCCGCGUGUAGCAGUGAAAUGCGUAGAUAUGCGGAGGAACACCGAUGGCGAAGGCAAUCCCCUGGGCCUGUACUGACGCUCAUGCACGAAAGCGUGGGGAGCAAACAGGAUUAGAUACCCCAGUAGUCCCUGUCUCUUAUAA